Molecule: ribosomal RNA, 378 nt
Filed under: uncultured bacterium
Lineage: Bacteria
Description: bacterial SSU rRNA
Rfam family: Bacterial small subunit ribosomal RNA
Source: RNAcentral
UAAGACGUAGGGCGCAAGCGUUGUCCGGAUUUAUUGGGCGUAAAGAGCUCGUAGGCGGCUUGUUGCGUCGACCGUGAAAACCCACAGCUCAACUGUGGGCUUGCGGUUGAUACGGGCGGGCUGGAGUUCGGUAGGGGAGACUGGAAUUCCUGGUGUAGCGGUGAAAUGCGCAGAUAUCAGGAGGAACACCGGUGGCGAAGGCGGGUCUCUGGGCCGAUACUGACGCUGAGGAGCGAAAGCGUGGGGAGCGAACAGGAUUAGAUACCCUGGUAGUCCACGCUGUAAACGUUGGGCGCUAGGUGUGGGGGUCCUCUCCGGGUCUCUGUGCCGCAGCUAACGCAUUAAGCGCCCCGCCUGGGGAGUACGGCCGCAAGGCUA